Danio rerio (zebrafish) is the source of this 122-nucleotide ribosomal RNA. NCBI's taxonomy places the organism in Eukaryota, Metazoa, Chordata, Actinopteri, Cypriniformes, Danionidae. The record is from Ensembl.
ACAUACAGCCAUAUCACCCUGCAUCCCAAGACCGGUUACUCACUGAAGCUAUGCAGGGCUGAGCCUGGUCAGUACCUGGAUGGUACUGGAGACCACAAGGGAAAACUAGGUUGCUGUUGGAA